Molecule: ribosomal RNA, 2899 nt
Filed under: Klebsiella quasipneumoniae
Lineage: Bacteria; Pseudomonadati; Pseudomonadota; Gammaproteobacteria; Enterobacterales; Enterobacteriaceae
Description: 23S ribosomal RNA
Rfam family: Bacterial large subunit ribosomal RNA
Source: RNAcentral
UUAAGCGACUAAGCGUACACGGUGGAUGCCCUGGCAGUCAGAGGCGAUGAAGGACGUGCUAAUCUGCGAAAAGCGUCGGUAAGGUGAUAUGAACCGUUAUAACCGGCGAUGUCCGAAUGGGGAAACCCAGUGCAAUUCGUUGCACUAUCGUUAACUGAAUACAUAGGUUAACGAGGCGAACCGGGGGAACUGAAACAUCUAAGUACCCCGAGGAAAAGAAAUCAACCGAGAUUCCCCCAGUAGCGGCGAGCGAACGGGGAGCAGCCCAGAGUCUGAAUCAGCUUGUGUGUUAGUGGAACGGUCUGGAAAGUCCGACGGUACAGGGUGAUAGUCCCGUACACCAAAAUGCACAGGCUGUGAACUCGAAGAGUAGGGCGGGACACGUGGUAUCCUGUCUGAAUAUGGGGGGACCAUCCUCCAAGGCUAAAUACUCCUGACUGACCGAUAGUGAACCAGUACCGUGAGGGAAAGGCGAAAAGAACCCCGGCGAGGGGAGUGAAAAAGAACCUGAAACCGUGUACGUACAAGCAGUGGGAGCACCUUCGGGUGUGACUGCGUACCUUUUGUAUAAUGGGUCAGCGACUUAUAUUCUGUAGCAAGGUUAACCGUAUAGGGGAGCCGCAGGGAAACCGAGUCUUAACUGGGCGUUAAGUUGCAGGGUAUAGACCCGAAACCCGGUGAUCUAGCCAUGGGCAGGUUGAAGGUUGGGUAACACUAACUGGAGGACCGAACCGACUAAUGUUGAAAAAUUAGCGGAUGACUUGUGGCUGGGGGUGAAAGGCCAAUCAAACCGGGAGAUAGCUGGUUCUCCCCGAAAGCUAUUUAGGUAGCGCCUCGUGAACUCAUCUUCGGGGGUAGAGCACUGUUUCGGCUAGGGGGUCAUCCCGACUUACCAACCCGAUGCAAACUACGAAUACCGAAGAAUGUUAUCACGGGAGACACACGGCGGGUGCUAACGUCCGUCGUGAAGAGGGAAACAACCCAGACCGCCAGCUAAGGUCCCAAAGUCAUGGUUAAGUGGGAAACGAUGUGGGAAGGCACAGACAGCCAGGAUGUUGGCUUAGAAGCAGCCAUCAUUUAAAGAAAGCGUAAUAGCUCACUGGUCGAGUCGGCCUGCGCGGAAGAUGUAACGGGGCUAAACCAUGCACCGAAGCUGCGGCAGCGACACUAUGUGUUGUUGGGUAGGGGAGCGUUCUGUAAGCCUGCGAAGGUGACCUGUGAGGGUUGCUGGAGGUAUCAGAAGUGCGAAUGCUGACAUAAGUAACGAUAAAGCGGGUGAAAAGCCCGCUCGCCGGAAGACCAAGGGUUCCUGUCCAACGUUAAUCGGGGCAGGGUGAGUCGACCCCUAAGGCGAGGCCGAAAGGCGUAGUCGAUGGGAAACAGGUUAAUAUUCCUGUACUUGGUGUUACUGCGAAGGGGGGACGGAGAAGGCUAUGUUAGCCGGGCGACGGUUGUCCCGGUUUAAGCAUGUAGGCUGAUUAUCCAGGCAAAUCCGGAUAAUCAAGGCUGAGGUGUGAUGACGAGGCACUACGGUGCUGAAGUAACAAAUGCCCUGCUUCCAGGAAAAGCCUCUAAGCAUCAGGUAACAUCAAAUCGUACCCCAAACCGACACAGGUGGUCAGGUAGAGAAUACCAAGGCGCUUGAGAGAACUCGGGUGAAGGAACUAGGCAAAAUGGUGCCGUAACUUCGGGAGAAGGCACGCUGGUGUGUAGGUGAAGCCCCUGCGGGUGGAGCUGAGACCAGUCGAAGAUACCAGCUGGCUGCAACUGUUUAUUAAAAACACAGCACUGUGCAAACACGAAAGUGGACGUAUACGGUGUGACGCCUGCCCGGUGCCGGAAGGUUAAUUGAUGGGGUUAUCCGUAAGGAGAAGCUCUUGAUCGAAGCCCCGGUAAACGGCGGCCGUAACUAUAACGGUCCUAAGGUAGCGAAAUUCCUUGUCGGGUAAGUUCCGACCUGCACGAAUGGCGUAAUGAUGGCCAGGCUGUCUCCACCCGAGACUCAGUGAAAUUGAACUCGCUGUGAAGAUGCAGUGUACCCGCGGCAAGACGGAAAGACCCCGUGAACCUUUACUAUAGCUUGACACUGAACAUUGAGCCUUGAUGUGUAGGAUAGGUGGGAGGCUUUGAAGCGUGGACGCCAGUCUGCGUGGAGCCAACCUUGAAAUACCACCCUUUAAUGUUUGAUGUUCUAACGUUGGCCCCUUAUCGGGGUUGCGGACAGUGUCUGGUGGGUAGUUUGACUGGGGCGGUCUCCUCCCAAAGCGUAACGGAGGAGCACGAAGGUUAGCUAAUCCUGGUCGGACAUCAGGAGGUUAGUGCAAUGGCAUAAGCUAGCUUGACUGCGAGCGUGACGGCGCGAGCAGGUGCGAAAGCAGGUCAUAGUGAUCCGGUGGUUCUGAAUGGAAGGGCCAUCGCUCAACGGAUAAAAGGUACUCCGGGGAUAACAGGCUGAUACCGCCCAAGAGUUCAUAUCGACGGCGGUGUUUGGCACCUCGAUGUCGGCUCAUCACAUCCUGGGGCUGAAGUAGGUCCCAAGGGUAUGGCUGUUCGCCAUUUAAAGUGGUACGCGAGCUGGGUUUAGAACGUCGUGAGACAGUUCGGUCCCUAUCUGCCGUGGGCGCUGGAGAAUUGAGGGGGGCUGCUCCUAGUACGAGAGGACCGGAGUGGACGCAUCACUGGUGUUCGGGUUGUCAUGCCAAUGGCACUGCCCGGUAGCUAAAUGCGGAAGAGAUAAGUGCUGAAAGCAUCUAAGCACGAAACUUGCCCCGAGAUGAGUUCUCCCUGAGACUUUAAGUCUCCUGAAGGAACGUUGAAGACGACGACGUUGAUAGGCCGGGUGUGUAAGCGCAGCGAUGCGUUGAGCUAACCGGUACUAAUGAACCGUGAGGCUUAACCU